GAAUCAAAACAAUUUAACGGAAGCAAUGCCACAGUUGGCUGAUCUGUCAUCAAACAGUUGCUAAUUGCCAGUAUUUCAACAAGAUUGAGAUGCUAGCUUCCAAGAUCAAGUUAUGUUUUUUGGACAGGAUAGGAAGUCCGUUGUCUGUGUGCUCUUAACGAGAGUGAUGGACUUGGGAUGUCGAAAGAUAGUCUACAUUU
RNAcentral lists this small nucleolar RNA (200 nucleotides) under Kazachstania africana CBS 2517. RNAcentral's name for it is "Small nucleolar RNA snR34". It matches the Rfam family "Small nucleolar RNA snR34". Lineage: Eukaryota; Fungi; Ascomycota; Saccharomycetes; Saccharomycetales; Saccharomycetaceae. The record is from Rfam by way of RNAcentral.